This 657-nucleotide ribosomal RNA is filed under the name uncultured archaeon. RNAcentral describes it as "bacterial SSU rRNA". It matches the Rfam family "Archaeal small subunit ribosomal RNA", at positions 1 to 665 of the family's 1478-position model. The record is from RNAcentral.
UUCCGGUUGAUCCCGCCGGACCUGACUGCUAUCGGAUUGAUACUAAGCCAUGCGAGUCAUUGUAGCAAUACAAGGCAGACGGCUCAGUAACGCGUAGUCAACCUAACCUAUGGACGGGAAUAACCUCGGGAAACUGAGAAUAAUGCCCGAUAGAACACUAUACCUGGAAUGGCUUGUGUUCCAAAUGAUUUAUCGCCGUAGGAUGGGACUGCGGCCUAUCAGUUUGUUGGUGAGGUAAUGGCCCACCAAGACUAUUACAGGUACGGGCUCUGAGAGGAGUAGCCCGGAGAUGGGUACUGAGACACGGACCCAGGCCCUAUGGGGCGCAGCAGGCGAGAAAACUUUGCAAUGUGCGAAAGCACGACAAGGUUAAUCCGAGUGAUUUGUGCUAAACGAAUCUUUUGUUAGUCCUAGAACCACUAACGAAUAAGGGGUGGGCAAGUUCUGGUGUCAGCCGCCGCGGUAAAACCAGCACCUCAAGUGGUCAGGAUGAUUAUUGGGCCUAAAGCAUCCGUAGCCGGCUCUGUAAGUUUUCGGUUAAAUCUGUACGCUUAACGUACAGGCUGCCGGGAAUACUGCAGAGCUAGGGAGUGGGAGAGGUAGACGGUACUCGGUAGGAAGGGGUAAAAUCCUUUGAUCUAUUGAUGACCACCUGUG